This 910-nucleotide ribosomal RNA is filed under the name Melanoides tuberculata. Its description in RNAcentral is "partial large subunit ribosomal RNA". It matches the Rfam family "Bacterial large subunit ribosomal RNA", at positions 1376 to 2599 of the family's 2925-position model. The record is from RNAcentral. Lineage: Eukaryota; Metazoa; Mollusca; Gastropoda; Thiaridae.
AUAGCUAGUUUUCUUAAAAAUGUGUUAAAGCACACAAUGAAUUUAAAAUUAAAAGUAAUUUAAAAUUCUUAUUAUUAAUUUUAGUUUAAUUGGACUCUUUUGAGGAUAAGCUCGAAAGUUGUUGUUGAGUCUUAUAUUAUUUAAAAUUACUGUGUGGGCCUAAAAUUAGCCAUCACAAAAGUUUGUUAUAAAAUAGCAAAGUAUAUUAAAAAUAUUAUUAUAUGUAGCACCAUAAAAACUUAUAAGAACAAUGAUCUAAACUAAAAGAUUUAAUAUGCCUAUGCUAGGAUGAGUAUUAUAAAAUUAUAUAUUAGGUAAAACUAGUACUUCUAAAAAAAUAUUUUUUAUAUAAAUUAAAGAGAAGGAAUUUGGCAAAUAUUGUUUCGCCUGUUUAUCAAAAACAUGGCUCUUUGAAAAGAACAAAUAGAGAGUCGAACCUGCCCGGUGAAUUAUUUUAACGGCCGCGGUACCCUGACCGUGCAAAGGUAGCAUAAUCAUUUGCCUUAUAAUUGAAGGCUAGCAUGAAUGGUCUGACGAAAGCAAUACUGUCUCCUCUUUAUUUUUUAGAAAUUAACUUAUAGGUGAAGAGGCCUAUAUUAUAUUGAAGGACAAGAAGACCCUGUCGAGCUUUUAAAUUAAAGUAGGUGUAAAUUAUUAACAAAAUCAAUGAACUGCAUUACAUUUUUAGUUGGGGCGACGAAGGAACAAACAAAGCUUCUUUUAUUUUUAUAAAUUUAUAGAUUUAGAUCCAGCAAAGCUGAUUAAAGAAAUUAGUUACCGCAGGGAUAACAGCAUAAUCUCCUUUGAGAGACCUAAUCGAAAAGGGGGGUUGUGACCUCGAUGUUGGACUAGAAUAUCCUGAAGAUGCAGACGUCUUCGAGGUUGGUCUGUUCGACCAUUAAAAUUCUAC